AAAUUCCGAAAAUAUAAGAACAUUGAUAAACCGGUAUUAUGCUGAAAAAUUCUUAGGAAUCCGUACAGGAGUUUAUUGAUAAGCAGGGUGACAGGCAAUUGUUAUCCCAAAUUUCCUAAUGAAGCAAAUUUGAAACCUGAUAUAGAAAACACCAGUGGGGCAACAUACCAUUGACUUUGUGGAUCAACUACAUAGGAUCUACCUUGAGUAUGGAUGGGGAAAUCCAAGAAUACCACAAUGUGACCAAGGCUCUGAGUUUAAGUUGUUCACCAUACCAUCCCAUGUUGGGUUGCCCACCAGUCCAGAUCAACAGUUUGUUGAGGAAAAGCUUGGAAUUCAGUUGAUGCCUAUUCUUGCUGUGAAGAGGAGCAAUCUGAACUGAAGGGGAGAACAGACUCCAAACAAGAGUAGAUGUGAUGACACCAAGAAAGAGCAGCCACAUAUUACCUCGAGAGGUUAACCAGAAUGCAAAUCAACAGAAUAUGAUGCUGACCAAGUACCAGGAAGAGGUGUCCCCAUCACUGUAGAUGACAAGUGAUGACAGUUAUCUUGAUGGACUACAGGAAUAAUUCAAGUGCAUUCAUUAUGCAGUUUACUGAUUUGUAUGAUGUAUUUUGAUAAUUGUUUUGGCAUUCUGAUGUCAGCUGAGUAACACCUCCAUAAUGGAGACAAAUUAAGGAACUUCUGUUUUGAAGCAGUAAAAUAGUCUCAGCAAUAAUUUUUAUUUAUUUUGCCAGCAGAACAGAAGUUUCCAUUAAUUUUCCCACACAAACAUUUUGUGCUUUUCUGUCCCCCAUUUGUGCUUAUUGUCCUGCUGAACAAUUGGACCACCUUUCCAGUGACAUUUUUUUUACACUGCAUGACAAUGUGAUUUAGAAGUAUGAUUUGAUAUAGUUUGAUGGUUUGAUAUUAGUAUAUGUGGCAUGUAGUAAACAAUGGAAUAGUAAAGUUAUACCAUAUUUCUUGUAUUUCAUGAUACUGGCUGUUAUAUUACUUUUGUGAUAGUUAGUAUUUAAUUAAGGCUUUACAUACUGGCAACUAAGUCUCUGCAUGUCUGCCAUGGAAGGCAUGUAAAACUGUUGCCCUUUGCCAGAAUGAAGAAAGUUUUAUAUGUGUAAUUUAUGAUAUGUGAAUAAUGUCUUACAUGUGAUGUUACAUCUAACUAUUUAAUGUGUAUGCUGUUAGUCUUAGAAAAAAGAAAAUUUCCCCAUCUUGAAAUAUUCAGCUUUGUCAGUUUUUGUUGCUCCAGAUUUUGCCAUAUUUUGUUUCUGGAGGACAUUUUGUUAAAUGUAGUUACGUAUCAUGGGUUCAUACCAAAUCAUUUGAUAAAGGUAAUAAUUUAUAAACAAGAUG
RNAcentral lists this long non-coding RNA (1353 nucleotides) under Haliotis rubra (blacklip abalone). RNAcentral describes it as "uncharacterized LOC124260445, transcript variant X2". Lineage: Eukaryota; Metazoa; Mollusca; Gastropoda; Lepetellida; Haliotidae. The record is from RNAcentral.